UACAGGGGGUGCAAACGUUGCUCGGAAUCAUUGGGCGUAAAGCGCACGUAGGCGGUUCGUUAUGUCGGAUGUGAAAACCCUUGGCUUAACCGAGGAAGUGCAUCCGAAACUGGCGAGCUAGAGUACGAAAGAGGAUCGCGGAAUUCCCGGUGUAGAGGUGAAAUUCGUAGAUAUCGGGAGGAACACCGGUGGCGAAGGCGGCGAUCUGGGUCGAUACUGACGCUGAGGUGCGAAAGCGUGGGGAGCAAACAGG
Molecule: ribosomal RNA, 253 nt
Filed under: uncultured bacterium
Lineage: Bacteria
Description: partial 16S ribosomal RNA
Rfam family: Bacterial small subunit ribosomal RNA
Source: RNAcentral